GAUGAACGCUGGCGGCGUGCCUAAUACAUGCAAGUCGAGCGAACGGGCGAGAAGCUUGCUUCUCUGAUAUUAGCGGCGGACGGGUGAGUAACACGUGGAUAACCUACCUAUAAGACUGGGAUAACUUCGGGAAACCGGAGCUAAUACCGGAUAAUAUUUUGAACCGCAUGGUUCAAAAGUGAAAGACGGUCUUGCUUUCACUUAUAGAUGGAUCCGCGCUUCAUUAGCUAGUUGGUAAGGUAACGGCUUACCAAGGCAACGAUGCAUAGCCGCCCUGAGAGGGUGAUCGGCCAAACUGGAACGGAGACACGGUCCAGACCCCUACGGGAGGCAGCAGUAGGGAAUCUUCCGCAAUGGGCGAAAGCCUGACGGAGCAACGCCGCGUGAGUGAUGAAGGUCUUCGGAUCGUAAAACUCUGUUAUUAGGGAAGAACAUAUGUGUAAGUAACUGUGCACAUCUUGACGGUACCUAAUCAGAAAGCCACGGCUAACUACGUG
RNAcentral lists this ribosomal RNA (497 nucleotides) under uncultured bacterium. Its description in RNAcentral is "partial 16S ribosomal RNA". It matches the Rfam family "Bacterial small subunit ribosomal RNA", at positions 28 to 507 of the family's 1533-position model. The record is from RNAcentral.